This 762-nucleotide ribosomal RNA is filed under the name Curtobacterium luteum. Its description in RNAcentral is "bacterial SSU rRNA". It matches the Rfam family "Bacterial small subunit ribosomal RNA", at positions 34 to 810 of the family's 1533-position model. Lineage: Bacteria; Bacillati; Actinomycetota; Actinomycetes; Micrococcales; Microbacteriaceae. The record is from RNAcentral.
GGGUUGCGGCGUCUACCAUGCAAGUCGACGAUGAAGCCCAGCUUGCUGGGUGGAUUAGUGGCGAACGGGUGAGUAACACGUGAGUAACCUGCCCCUGACUCUGGGAUAAGCGUUGGAAACGACGUCUAAUACUGGAUAUGACUACUGGUCGCAUGGCCUGGUGGUGGAAAGAUUUUUUGGUUGGGGAUGGACUCGCGGCCUAUCAGCUUGUUGGUGAGGUAAUGGCUCACCAAGGCGACGACGGGUAGCCGGCCUGAGAGGGUGACCGGCCACACUGGGACUGAGACACGGCCCAGACUCCUACGGGAGGCAGCAGUGGGGAAUAUUGCACAAUGGGCGAAAGCCUGAUGCAGCAACGCCGCGUGAGGGAUGACGGCCUUCGGGUUGUAAACCUCUUUUAGUAGGGAAGAAGCGAAAGUGACGGUACCUGCAGAAAAAGCACCGGCUAACUACGUGCCAGCAGCCGCGGUAAUACGUAGGGUGCAAGCGUUGUCCGGAAUUAUUGGGCGUAAAGAGCUCGUAGGCGGUUUGUCGCGUCUGCUGUGAAAUCCCGAGGCUCAACCUCGGGCUUGCAGUGGGUACGGGCAGACUAGAGUGCGGUAGGGGAGAUUGGAAUUCCUGGUGUAGCGGUGGAAUGCGCAGAUAUCAGGAGGAACACCGAUGGCGAAGGCAGAUCUCUGGGCCGUAACUGACGCUGAGGAGCGAAAGCGUGGGGAGCGAACAGGAUUUAGAUACCCCUGGUAGGUCCACGCCGUAAACGUU